RNAcentral lists this ribosomal RNA (484 nucleotides) under uncultured bacterium. Its description in RNAcentral is "partial 16S ribosomal RNA". It matches the Rfam family "Bacterial small subunit ribosomal RNA", at positions 30 to 507 of the family's 1533-position model. The record is from RNAcentral.
AUUGAACGCUGGCGGCAGGCCUAACACAUGCAAGUCGAGCGGAUGAAGGGAGCUUGCUCCUGGAUUCAGCGGCGGACGGGUGAGUAAUGCCUAGGAAUCUGCCUGGUAGUGGGGGAUAACGUCCGGAAACGGGCGCUAAUACCGCAUACGUCCUGCGGGAGAAAGUGGGGGAUCUUCGGACCUCACGCUAUCGGAUGAGCCUAGGUCGGAUUAGCUAGUUGGUGGGGUAAAGGCCUACCAAGGCGACGAUCCGUAACUGGUCUGAGAGGAUGAUCAGUCACACUGGAACUGAGACACGGUCCAGACUCCUACGGGAGGCAGCAGUGGGGAAUAUUGGACAAUGGGCGAAAGCCUGAUCCAGCCAUGCCGCGUGUGUGAAGAAGGUCUUCGGAUUGUAAAGCACUUUAAGUUGGGAGGAAGGGCAGUAAGUUAAUACCUUGCUGUUUUGACGUUACCAACAGAAUAAGCACCGGCUAACUUCGUG